This 848-nucleotide long non-coding RNA is filed under the name Homo sapiens (human). RNAcentral's name for it is "HSALNT0296045". Lineage: Eukaryota; Metazoa; Chordata; Mammalia; Primates; Hominidae. The record is from RNAcentral.
CAUUCUGCUACACAGAUGCUGUUUCCUUUGCCCAGCACACCUGUCACUCACCUCAACCCUUUCUCUCUUUUCCCCAUCUUUCUGUGGCUAGCUCCUCCUCAUUCUUUAGGUCUCAGUGUAGAUAGCACCACUAUCAGGAAGGAGUCCAGACACUGCCAGGCCUAAGAAAUGUAAAUUAAAUGCUCUCAAGGGAUGAGAGACACUGGAAGCUGGGACGCUCUUGGAACUCUGUUGCCAUCAUCAAGGUCAGCAGUCCAACUACCAGGGCCAGAGCCCCAUCAAAGAAUCUUCAGUGCCAGCCAGAAAGAAUGAUGAACUCCUCGUGUAAAGGGAGUUUGGGGCAACCAGUCAAACCAUGGCCUCAUGGGAAGCAGCUGACUAGGCAAUGAGAGAGGAAUACAAAAGACAAGGCACUGCGAAGCCAAGUCUGGUUGGGGAGAAGAAACCAAUAUGCCUGAAACAGGGAACCAGAAAGGACUCAGACAAAACUGCUGACAAGUAUGGGGUUUCUUGGGGUAGGUGGUGAAAAUAUUCCAAAAUAAGAUUAUAGCGAUGUUUUAAUAAUCCCCUGGAUAUAAUAAAAAAACAUCGAAUUGUACACUUCAAAUGAGUGAACUGUGUGGUAUGUGAAUUAUAUAUCUCAAUAAAGAUGUUUUAAAAAGAAGACACAGGCUGGGCACAGUGGCUAAUGCCUGUAAUACCAACACUUUGGGAGGCUGAAGUGGGCAGAUAGCUUGAGCCCAGGAGUUUGAGAACAGCCUGGGCAACAUGGUGAAACUCUGUCUCUGCAAAAAAUACAAAACAAAACAAAACAAAAACAGCUGGGUGUGGUGGUGCUAGCUGUAGGU